GGUUAAGCGACUAAGCGUACACGGUGGAUGCCCUGGCAGUCAGAGGCGAUGAAGGACGUGCUAAUCUGCGAAAAGCGUCGGUAAGGUGAUAUGAACCGUUAUAACCGGCGAUGUCCGAAUGGGGAAACCCAGUGUGAUUCGUCACACUAUCGUUAACUGAAUACAUAGGUUAACGAGGCGAACCGGGGGAACUGAAACAUCUAAGUACCCCGAGGAAAAGAAAUCAACCGAGAUUCCCCCAGUAGCGGCGAGCGAACGGGGAGCAGCCCAGAGUCUGAAUCAGCUUGUGUGUUAGUGGAACGGUCUGGAAAGUCCGACGGUACAGGGUGAUAGUCCCGUACACCAAAAUGCACAGGUUGUGAACUCGAAGAGUAGGGCGGGACACGUGGUAUCCUGUCUGAAUAUGGGGGGACCAUCCUCCAAGGCUAAAUACUCCUGACUGACCGAUAGUGAACCAGUACCGUGAGGGAAAGGCGAAAAGAACCCCGGCGAGGGGAGUGAAAAAGAACCUGAAACCGUGUACGUACAAGCAGUGGGAGCACCUUCGGGUGUGACUGCGUACCUUUUGUAUAAUGGGUCAGCGACUUAUAUUCUGUAGCAAGGUUAACCGUAUAGGGGAGCCGCAGGGAAACCGAGUCUUAACUGGGCGUUAAGUUGCAGGGUAUAGACCCGAAACCCGGUGAUCUAGCCAUGGGCAGGUUGAAGGUUGGGUAACACUAACUGGAGGACCGAACCGACUAAUGUUGAAAAAUUAGCGGAUGACUUGUGGCUGGGGGUGAAAGGCCAAUCAAACCGGGAGAUAGCUGGUUCUCCCCGAAAGCUAUUUAGGUAGCGCCUCGUGAACUCAUCUUCGGGGGUAGAGCACUGUUUCGGCUAGGGGGUCAUCCCGACUUACCAACCCGAUGCAAACUACGAAUACCGAAGAAUGUUAUCACGGGAGACACACGGCGGGUGCUAACGUCCGUCGUGAAGAGGGAAACAACCCAGACCGCCAGCUAAGGUCCCAAAGUCAUGGUUAAGUGGGAAACGAUGUGGGAAGGCACAGACAGCCAGGAUGUUGGCUUAGAAGCAGCCAUCAUUUAAAGAAAGCGUAAUAGCUCACUGGUCGAGUCGGCCUGCGCGGAAGAUGUAACGGGGCUAAACCAUGCACCGAAGCUGCGGCAGCGACACUAUGUGUUGUUGGGUAGGGGAGCGUUCUGUAAGCCUGCGAAGGUGUGCUGUGAGGCAUGCUGGAGGUAUCAGAAGUGCGAAUGCUGACAUAAGUAACGAUAAAGCGGGUGAAAAGCCCGCUCGCCGGAAGACCAAGGGUUCCUGUCCAACGUUAAUCGGGGCAGGGUGAGUCGACCCCUAAGGCGAGGCCGAAAGGCGUAGUCGAUGGGAAACAGGUUAAUAUUCCUGUACUUGGUGUUACUGCGAAGGGGGGACGGAGAAGGCUAUGUUAGCCGGGCGACGGUUGUCCCGGUUUAAGCAUGUAGGCUGGUUGUCCAGGCAAAUCCGGAUAAUCAAGGCUGAGGUGUGAUGACGAGGCACUACGGUGCUGAAGUAACAAAUGCCCUGCUUCCAGGAAAAGCCUCUAAGCAUCAGGUAACAUCAAAUCGUACCCCAAACCGACACAGGUGGUCAGGUAGAGAAUACCAAGGCGCUUGAGAGAACUCGGGUGAAGGAACUAGGCAAAAUGGUGCCGUAACUUCGGGAGAAGGCACGCUGGUGUGUAGGUGAAGUCCCUGCGGAUGGAGCUGAGACCAGUCGAAGAUACCAGCUGGCUGCAACUGUUUAUUAAAAACACAGCACUGUGCAAACACGAAAGUGGACGUAUACGGUGUGACGCCUGCCCGGUGCCGGAAGGUUAAUUGAUGGGGUUAUCCGUAAGGAGAAGCUCUUGAUCGAAGCCCCGGUAAACGGCGGCCGUAACUAUAACGGUCCUAAGGUAGCGAAAUUCCUUGUCGGGUAAGUUCCGACCUGCACGAAUGGCGUAAUGAUGGCCAGGCUGUCUCCACCCGAGACUCAGUGAAAUUGAACUCGCUGUGAAGAUGCAGUGUACCCGCGGCAAGACGGAAAGACCCCGUGAACCUUUACUAUAGCUUGACACUGAACAUUGAGCCUUGAUGUGUAGGAUAGGUGGGAGGCUUUGAAGCGUGGACGCCAGUCUGCGUGGAGCCAACCUUGAAAUACCACCCUUUAAUGUUUGAUGUUCUAACGUUGGCCCCUGACCGGGGUUGCGGACAGUGUCUGGUGGGUAGUUUGACUGGGGCGGUCUCCUCCCAAAGCGUAACGGAGGAGCACGAAGGUUAGCUAAUCCUGGUCGGACAUCAGGAGGUUAGUGCAAUGGCAUAAGCUAGCUUGACUGCGAGCGUGACGGCGCGAGCAGGUGCGAAAGCAGGUCAUAGUGAUCCGGUGGUUCUGAAUGGAAGGGCCAUCGCUCAACGGAUAAAAGGUACUCCGGGGAUAACAGGCUGAUACCGCCCAAGAGUUCAUAUCGACGGCGGUGUUUGGCACCUCGAUGUCGGCUCAUCACAUCCUGGGGCUGAAGUAGGUCCCAAGGGUAUGGCUGUUCGCCAUUUAAAGUGGUACGCGAGCUGGGUUUAGAACGUCGUGAGACAGUUCGGUCCCUAUCUGCCGUGGGCGCUGGAGAAUUGAGGGGGGCUGCUCCUAGUACGAGAGGACCGGAGUGGACGCAUCACUGGUGUUCGGGUUGUCAUGCCAAUGGCACUGCCCGGUAGCUAAAUGCGGAAGAGAUAAGUGCUGAAAGCAUCUAAGCACGAAACUUGCCCCGAGAUGAGUUCUCCCUGAGACUUUAAGUCUCCUGAAGGAACGUUGAAGACGACGACGUUGAUAGGCCGGGUGUGUAAGCGCAGCGAUGCGUUGAGCUAACCGGUACUAAUGAACCGUGAGGCUUAACCUU
Molecule: ribosomal RNA, 2902 nt
Filed under: Klebsiella pneumoniae
Lineage: Bacteria; Pseudomonadati; Pseudomonadota; Gammaproteobacteria; Enterobacterales; Enterobacteriaceae
Description: 23S ribosomal RNA
Rfam family: Bacterial large subunit ribosomal RNA
Source: RNAcentral